This 19598-nucleotide long non-coding RNA is filed under the name Brassica napus (rape). RNAcentral's name for it is "long non-coding RNA (BNAP_LNC021720)". Lineage: Eukaryota; Viridiplantae; Streptophyta; Magnoliopsida; Brassicales; Brassicaceae. The record is from RNAcentral.
AGAGAGAGAGAGAGAGAGAUGAGAGCGGCGAAAGUCUCAGGGAUCUUCAGAUGAUAGGGAAGAUAACCGUCUCAGAGAAACUUAUUCCCCAAGAAAAUAGAAUCUAGUGAAAAUUGACCUGUAUUUGCUCAGGUCAUUCAUCAUUGAUUCUGGUUAAGUUGCCAAUCAAAUCAUGAUGAUCCCUGGACGAGAAUUUUUUUUAAAAAGGGUGGAUCACAAAUAGAAAUAGGAGGAGGGGAGGGUGCAGAUGAAACGAUAAUAGCACUUGUAUGGAUUUUCUCGAAAUUGGCUGGAAUUUUCUGUGGAAGUGAAAGAUUUUUUCCCAAACGUCUGGUCAGAGAAAAAUAGAAAAUAACGAAUUUGAGAUUUUGGUCUUUUUUCUAAAACUAAAUAACUAAAAAUAAAAAUUUGGGCCACACAUGACGCAACUGAUGUUUGGAAGAAAGUCAUUUUUGGAGUUCUCUUCUCGACAGUAACCCACCAAUCGUUUGCUUAUCAAAGCUCCUGAAUUUCUAUCUGUCUGAUUUUUUGUUUUGUGGAACUUCCAGCGGUGUAGGACCCUUCAUUAAUCCAAAUGUGAAAUAACAAAAAAAAAAGAAAAAAAAAUCAAAUGACAAAACAAAAAUAUAUUUGUUUUAUCACUUUUGUAUGAUAAGUCUUCCAAUGGGUCUACUAGGAAAGAUAUAGGAUUAUCUUUAGUCUAUUAUUCAAGUUUGACAUUGUUUAACAAACCAAACCAGAAUAAAACAACCAACAUAAUACAAAUCUGUAUGAUAUGCUCUUGAUAUCUUAGAUAAUGAAUAUCACAUGUUGUUUCCAAAACAAAGACGUUAAACAAUAGAGAAAUCUACAAAUAAUAUCGUUAACUUUUUAAUCUUAUAGCUCAUUUAACUUCGUUAAGAAGUUUGGUCAUGCUUACAAGGGCAAAAAUAAUAUCUAAUGUGUGCAUAUUGCUAUAAUAUGUAAAUAAGAUAUAAGUAAGCAUCGAACUUGAAUUAUUAGGAGUGCAUUCUCAACAUUUGCCAUCUCAUACACCAAAGUUGUAAUGAUUUUGUAUAGAAAAUUAUAAGUAAUAAUAUUACUAUGACAUGCCCAACAAAUAUUAACCUGCUUUGCCCUUGCACGCUUCGGUCUCUUGUAUCAAUUAGUACCAAAAUGUUGUCACAACAAUAAUUGUAGCAUGCAAUCCGUAGUCUAAGAAAGAGCCUCAGGCUCUACAUGUAUCAAUGACACUCUUCUCAUUUGAUUCUUAGCUCCCAGAAGUUGAAUUUGCCAUGUAGAUCAUUUCCAAACACAUUCACAACCAUUAAGAAUGAGUUAUGUUUCCAUAAUCCAUCAACUGUACAAAUCUCUUGGCUUGGAUAGAUAUUAUGUUGUUCCUCAUGCACUUCUAUCCUUAUAAUAUUAGCCUCAGACCAUGUUUGGUAUUCUAAUUCCCCAUGUCUACCUGUCUCCAAGGGAUCCAUGUUGAUUCCUCUAAAUGAUUUAUCAUUUUUCUUUUUCCACAUAUAUCAAAUUAUCCAUGAGUAAGAGUUUCUAACCAUUUCUGGAUCUUCAAUGUUGUUCUUACACUAAAAGAGAUAAUUUGUAUUUGUAUAUGCACUCGAACUGUGGAAUACUAACGGGGAGGAAGGUGUUUCUACUAGGGCCCGUGUUUGUAUAGCUAAGAGACACUUAAAAGUAGCAUGUUAAAGGAUUCAUCAUCUACUCCGCAUUUGAGUUAAUAUGACAUCUCAUAUGACGACAUAUUAAAUUUAUGGCUAUAACUAGGUGCAUGAUAAGAUUUGCCACAUAAGAUGGUGAAUUUUAUGCGGCGCUUUAACCUUCCAAGAAAAGGAUUGAAUUUUUUUAUGCUAGCUUAUGAAUACAUCACAUUUGUUUCCUUUUCAAGUAUAUUCCUAGCAAUUCAAUACCCUGAUUUGACUGUGUACCCGUAUAACUCUCGCAAGACAUUUUGCGAUGUAGAGAUUGACUUAUGGCCAAGGAAUGUAUCAAAGGGAUAUCCUCCUAGGAAACAUAAUUUUCUAAUAACCUUAUAUUUCAUUAAUUGGUUCUCCAACGAGAAGAACACUCAAGGGAUAUCCUCUUGGAAUGGCUCUGCCAUGUCUUACCAUAAUCGUUGGAUAAUACAAUAAUCGUUGGUAUCCAUGGAUCAUGCCCGACUCUAAUUUUAUUUCCUGGAUGCACCUUAUGUCCUAUUACCAUAGCUAUUAAUGGCUUCGCUGCCAUAAUGCUUAUCCAACCAUAUUAGGGAUUGUACAAUCGAGUUUGAUCACAAUGGCGAACUUUGUCAUAAUAUUUGCCUCGCAACACCCUUGGUAGUAGUGAUUCUGGGAAUUAAACCAAUAUCCACAGUUCAUUUUCCAAUAAAGAAAUAUUGAAAUCAUGGAUCUGACAGAAUUCAAUACCUCAUUCCUGUUUUAGUAUACAAAGUUUUUUUCCAUUUUUUCCAAUGAAUUUUUUUCUUAGGUAGUUUAAACUACCUAAGAAAAAAAUUCAUUGGAAAAAAUGGAAAAAAACUUUGUAUACUAAAACAGGAAUGAGGUAUUGAAUUCUGUCAGAUCCAUGAUUUCAAUAUUUCUUUAUUGGAAAAUGAACUGUGGAUAUUGGUUUAAUUCCCAGAAUCACUACUACCAAGGGUGUUGCGAGGCAAAUAUUAUGACAAAGUUCGCCAUUGUGAUCAAACUCGAUUGUACAAUCCCUAAUAUGGUUGGAUAAGCAUUAUGGCAGCGAAGCCAUUAAUAGCUAUGGUAAUAGGACAUAAGGUGCAUCCAGGAAAUAAAAUUAGAGUCGGGNNNNNNNNNNNNNNNNNNNNNNNNNNNNNNNNNNNNNNNNNNNNNNNNNNNNNNNNNNNNNNNNNNNNNNNNNNNNNNNNNNNNNNNNNNNNNNNNNNNNNNNNNNNNNNUUUUUUUUUUUUUUUUUUGUCAUCAAAAUACAGACUCAUACUGACUCUGUGAACCAAACUGGGUGAUCUGCAUCCAUGUGAACGACGAAAGACGAUUGAUUUCGAGCACUGCGUGCUAGACUAUCCGCCUUUGAAUUGUGCGUCCGUGGUACAUAGAAGAUAUUUCUGUCUAAACAUAACUAGUAUAAUGUGUUUAUAAUUAAUGUAAGGGAAAUUAGGCUAGAUAGCUAAGAAAUAAAACAUAUUUAAGAAUCUAACUAAAAAAAAGAGUCACCAUUAUUAUUAUAUUAUGUACUAUAUUGCCCUUAGUAUCCGAUCACUAAAAUCUCAAACACGCUCUUCUUUAAUUACCAAUCGCCACCACCGUCAUUUCUUUCUUAAUCACCAUUGUAUCUUUAUUGUUGCCAUUUUCACUACAAUCACCACAAAUCUGUAAUCUUUGUUCAGUAUUUUAUAUUUUUAGGCCACAAUCCUAUCAACCAUCAUCUCUUCCUUCGUAAUAACUACCGCCUCUAUCAAUUCUGUUAUUCUCGUAUGUACUGUAAAUUUCAAGUUAAUAUAUACUAUUCUAUUUUCUUGUUACUAUUCUAUUUUAAUAAUGCUUUAUAUUAUGUACAAUGUGAGUGUUUUGAUAUUUGAAUUAGCGUUUAUAUUUCUUUUUAGGGUUUAGUGAUUAGCGUUUUGACUUUUGAGUUUAGUUUAUGGAAAGUUUGGGUUAACAUUGGAGUAAACAUUACCUUCUUUUCUUUAAUCAUAGACAUUUCAAAAUUUGAACAAUAUGUACUACGCUAUUUCAUUUGUUACUAUUCUAUUUUGAUUAUGCUUCAUGCAUAUUUUGAUAUUUGGAUUAUAGUUUAUAUUUUCUUUUAGGAUUUAGUGAUUAGUGUUUGGGUUUGGACGUAGAAAUCAUCCAUAGAUGUAGAGGAGGAAACACAAUUCAUUUUCGAAUAUACCAUUCUAUUUAAUAAUUUUACUAAUACUUGCCAUACCACCAGUUUGCUCUAUACUAUUUCUAAUCUAUGUUAUAAAAAAUCAUUGGUUCCUAUAUAUCUACAUCCACCACUUUCUUUGUAACCACCACCACCACCAUUGUCAUUACCAUCACGAUCACCACCUAUCUCAUUGUCUCUUUUAUAUACUUCAAAUUAUCACAAUUUUACCAUACCACCGUACUCACAUCCAUUGCUAUGAUACUAUGAUAAUCAUCACCAUCAGAAUCCAUAUCUGCCCCUACCGUAAUCAUCACCACUGCCGAUACAAUAAUCACCAUCGUCGCGAUAACUGUCACAAUUGUAACAUCAAAACUAUUAUCAUCACCGGUUGUUUCAUAACUGUUACUGUUUUUUUAUCUCUAUCAUCAACCAUGCCUCGUAAUUUCCUUUCAUUUUCUUCUUUUCAGUUUUAACAUAAUCAAUAAUUUUCUUUAUCGUAUAUUUGCAAGACAAAAGGUUAAAAUCGGAUUUUCUUCUUUUCAGUUUUAAUGUCAUCAGUUAUUUUCUUUACCGUAUACUUAUAAGACAAAAGGUUAAAACUAGAAAGAAAAGGAAAGAAAGUGUUAUCCAUUUAAUUAUUUCAAAUAGGCCUGGGCAAAAGGCCCGAACCCGAUUACCCGAACCGAACCCGGUCCGUUUAAGGUGGUAUGGGUCGGGACCGGAUCUGUCAAAAAAACCGAAUGGGCCUGAUGUCUUGCUACUGUCGGGUGUCGGGUCGGAUCGGUUAAAACCCGAGAGCCCGAAUGGUUACACCCGAAACCCGCCUCUCAUUAACCCUAAUCCCCUUUUUCCCCAAAUCGUAUCGCGAUUUUAUUUUUUCUUUAUCUUCAAGGAGAGAAUCCAUGAAACCUUUCCUAAAUCUCGAUCUCCCAAGAUAUCCUCACCGAAAUGAUUUCCUAAGUCCGAUUAUCGGAUAUCUCCAACUGUUUUUGCACCUCCUAUCCGAUUCUCUUCCUCGAUUUGAACCCGAUACCCUAAGUCUAAGAUCCUAUAAAUACUUCUGCUAUCAUCAUCGUCUCCUCCAUCACAUAUCUCAAGUAAUCAAGCAAAGGUACACCUCCUUUUACAGAGUACUCGAUGCUUGUUUAAAUUUUUUUUUCUUGCUUUCGGGUUUUUGGGGUUUGGUUCAAUUUUUAAGAUUGAAAAACUUAUGUUUUGUUUCGUAUUAAGCAAGCAUCACGAUUCACGAGUAAUCAUAGGUUCUUUUACAUGAACUUGCUGACAUGUGAAAUGAAAACAUAUCGUGCAUUUUGAUGUUUGUUGUAAGGAAGUCUUAUGUUUUGGGUUUGUUGUACGAGUAAUAAUAGGUUCUUUUUCAUGAACUUACGGUUUUGUUUCGUAUUAAUCAAGGUUGAUGUUUGUUCUUCGGCUAUGAGCUGAGUUUACGGUUUUUCAUGAACUUACGGUUUUUAUGAACUUACGGAUAUAUAUGUUUUCCAAACUAAUUUUGUACAUGUUGAUGUUUCUUCUUCGGCUAUGAGCUGAGUUUUUGGAUAGAAACUAAUAACUGAAUUGUUUCUUUUGAUGUCACUGAUGGUAAUUUUUAUUCUCAUUCUCUUGCAGAUGGUUUCCUCAUCCUCCAAAAUCCCACACACCGUUGAAGAGACCAUGGACGUUGACGUUCAAGUUGAAGGAGAAGAGUGCCAACGAACUCAAAACCGUGGGAAGGCCAUUGCUGUUGAUGCAACGUCUGGUGUCUCUUCUCAGUCAAAGAAGGUGAUGAAAAUCGUUGUGCCAAGGUCUGGUGUCUGGAAGCAUUUCACCCGAACCAAAGAAAGUCGAGACAGAUGCAUCUGCCACUAUUGCCAGAAGAUCUUCUCAUGCGCUACCAAAUCAGGAACAUCAAACCUCCAGAAGCAUCUGUCCAUCUGCAAAGAGUACCAAGCUUGGUUAACCAGCCAAGGUAUGAAUAAGAUGGAGAUCAACACUGAUGGCAACCUGAAGUCAUCAAAAGUUGCAGAGGCUGUUUUCAGAGAGGCAUCAAAUGAGUUGAUCGUGCUAGGAGAACUGCCUCUUUCAUUUAUUGAAAGCAGUGCUUGGAAACACUUCUGCAGAAAGGUAAUUCAUUAAUAUACCAUUACCUAUUUUUUUAUCUUCCUUUUAACAUGAAAAAUUACUAAUACGUUUGUUAUUUACACUUGCAAGGUAAACCUCUACAAGCCACACUCGAGAAGGACUGCCACCAGAGACAUCGUUGAGAUGUAUGUGAGGAAGAAAGCAGCUUUGAAAAACAUGCUUCGCACAACCAAACAAAGAGUGUCACUUACAACUGACAUUUGGAUUUCACAGGUCACAGGUAACUUCUUUACAGCUUUUUUUCUUCGUUUUAUUUAUGCUAUACUUUGUUCUAGCAUAAAAUGUCAGUUUUUUAAAUUUCUAAAGUCAUUUUUAAAAAAAUUACUAACAAAGAAUGUCACUUAGAACUUCUAUGCAUCUGAUAUAUUUAUAAAGUUUUUUUUUUAAUUUCUAAACUUUGACUUUGUUUGUUUAAUUUGUAACAGGUGCAAGUGACAUGGUGAUAACUGCCCACUUCGUGGACGCAACUUGGCAGCUGAAGAAGCUUAUCAUAGGCUUCAAGUACGUGAUGGACCACAAGGGGCAGACCAUCGCAACUGUGCUCUUGGAGUGUCUAGCUGAAUGGGGCAUUGAGAAGGUAUUUUGCAUUACAGUAGACAAUGCGACUGCUAAUACUUCUGCCAUUAGGAGAUUCCAUAGGGAUUUUAGUGAUGUAUCCCCUGAGUCUUUAGUUCUAGACGGGAGUUUCUUGCACAUGAGGUGCUGUGCUCACAUCAUCAAUUUAAUUGCUAAGGAGGGUUUGACCGAGGUAGGAGAAAAUGUGUUAGCCAUUAGGAACGCUAUUCAGUAUGUUCGCUCUUCAACACCUAGGCUUAAUGCAUUUGAUCUUAGAGUCACUACUGGGAGAAUGAGUCGAGGUAGCUUACCUAUGGAUAUUAAGACUAGAUGGAAUUCAACCUUCCUUAUGCUGUCUAGGGCUCUUCAGUUUAGAACUGCAUUUGAUAGGAUGGAGGCAGAAGAUAGGUUGUAUAAUGAUUAUUUUUUAGAGAUGGAAAAUGGGGUUAAGAGGUGUGGACCACCUUCUUUGAGAGACUGGAGUGCUGUUGAGAAGCUCAAGAGGUUUCUCAUAAUCUUUUACAACAGCACUCUGGUUGUUUCUGCCUCUACGUCGGUGAAUUCUUACAAGUGCUACGGUGAGAUAGUGACCAUAGAAAGAAACCUCACUGCACUGGCCAACAGCUUCGAUCCUGAGUUGAAGGUGAAAGCGUCAGAGAUGUUGCAGAAGUUUCUCAAGUACUGGGAUGGUAUCAAGAGUGUCAACAGGAUGCUGAUCUUGGCCAUGGUUUUCGAUCCAAGGAAUAAGAUGCAAUUUGCAAAGCUGUGCUUUGAGAAGCUCUAUGAGAAGGAGAGCUUAGAGUCUAAUGCAAUGCUGGAAUCUGUUGGUGAUCUUCUCAGGUAUAUGUUUUAUAAUCAUUAAUUUUAAUCUUGUGAACCUCAAUAAUAAUGCCUCCAAAACUUGUAUAAAUAUUUUAUUUAUGUUUUUGGAGCUCAGGUCUAUGUUCAAGGAGUACAAUACAAGAUUCAGAGGGUCUACUGGAGAAGCCUCUCAGUCAAAUCACGCAUCAUCAUCUCAGCCUCCUCCAGAGUCGCAAGAUCAAGGCACAUAUAGAAUGGAGCUGGUGGUUGAAGAUUUUGGUUAUGAGCGGAUGGAUUGUGUGUACAAGGAGAUGGUUGCUGAAAAGGGAGAUGAUACAAGGGACGAACUUGAAGUGUACUUGAAGGAGGCAGUUGAAACUCCUAAGCUCUUGCUUGGUGUGGAGUUUGACAUUCUCGCUUGGUGGAAGGUUCACAAGAUGAAGUAUCCUGUGCUUGCUGAAAUGGCAAGAGAUCUACUCGCCAUGCAAGUUUUAUCAGUGGCAUCCGAAAGUGCUUUUAGCACAAGUGGGAGGAUCUUGGAGUCAUAUCGGAGUUGCUUAAUUCAUUACAUGAUAAAAGUUCUCAUGUGUACUGAGCAAUGGAUGCAUGCUGACAUCAAGGUGAGUGAACAAGUCACUACAAAUGAGCAAAUACUUGCUGAUGUGGAGUUGCUUGAUCGACUUCAGAAAGGCCUGUCUAUCUCUUCACUUAGUUUCUUUAUACUGUCUUAUGUAAUGUAUUUGUAUAUGCUAAGCUCCUUUCUUAUGCUUUGUUUUUAUGUUGCAGAGUUUCAAGCUCAAACGCUUGAUGAUUGAAGCUUCAAGGUCGAAGCAUGAAGUGGAAGAAGGCGGGUGAAGGUUGAAGCAUGGAGCUUGAAGUUUUCUGCAUUUGGUUUUUAUUUCUUCGAAGUUUGCGUACUGUUUCUCAUUUUGGUUCUAAGCAUUACAUUAUGGCUUUGUUUGCAAUUGCAUUCUCUGAGUUGUUAAGUUUUUGACUCUACUAUCAAUAAUAAAGGUGCUUUGGUUUUAUAUCAGUGUUGCCUUAGGGGUUAUGAGAAUUUUCAAUGCUUUAUUUCUUUGUUUUUUACUUACUUGCAGUACAAGUUACGAAUUUAUUUUGUUCUGUCAUGGUUACAUUCGCUACAAUUAGUACCUUUAAGAACCGAAAUACAGACCAAAACCCGAUCCUGAAAUUAUCCCGGGUUAUACCGGUUCCACGCCAGUCUACCAACCCCGACCCGAACCGUAUAGCCCCCGAACCGAUCUUCAGUUUUACCCGAAUGGGGCUUGUUUUUGUUAACUAAUAAAACCCGAACCCGAUUAGGAUGGACCCGACACCCGAAUGGUACACCGGUUACCCAGCCCUAUGUAUAUAUAUCAUUUCUACGCGAUUACAUAUUACAUCGAUUUAUUUUGAGAUAUAAGAUGAUUGAAAAUCCUCUCGAUUAGUCUUCAUUUAGCUAAGAAUUAGAAAAUUAUUACAAUCGUAGACGUUCUUUUAAGAUUUUGCAUUUUUAUCUCUCAUACUUUAAGGGUGCAGCAGGUGACCAAAGAAUAAAAGAGAAUAAUGCAUUUUUUACUAUUUCUAAUUUCUUUUACCUUUUACAAGGAAUUGUUUUUCCUUUGCAUUUCUUCUCGUUCCUUCUAUUUUAGAGUAAUAUAAUUCUUCACUAAAAUUGAUAAGGAAUCAUUUUUCUUUUCGUUCCUUUAAUAUUAUUUCUCUGCAUUUUUUUCUAUUCAUUCCUAAUAUUCCCGUAACGGUCACCGGUUUAUAGUAAACAAUUCCUUGCGGAUAGUCGCUUGGUAAAAACGUACAAAUAGAACGUUGUUAUUUUCUCAUUUAAAUCACAUCGAACCGACAGAAAUUAUUCAUCCAACUUUUUUUUCUAUCAACUAAAAUUGAUUUAUAAUGUAUGGGAUUGUUGACAAAAGAGGUAGAAGAGAAAAACUAAUAUAAUAGCAAAACCAACAUCCGAUUUUUAAUCACGUGAAACUAUAUUCUUUUAUAUAAAAGUUUUAUGUAUAAAAGAAGCUAUUUUAAAAGGGGGAAUAUUAUAAAGACUACAACUUUGUUGGCAGAUAGAAAAUAAAGAAAAAACGAAAACUUUAGUGUAUAAAAUUGUGACAAAACGAGAGGAGAAAGUUUUACAAAAAAAAGUGUUACAAAAAAAAACGAGAGGAGAAAGGAGUGAACUUUUGCAUUGGGUUCCAUUUUUUAUCAUAGAGUCGGCCUUCUUCUGGCUGCUUGUGGCCUUGUGGGCCUUUCUCGUUGCACCGACCUUUUUACUUCCAUUGCAUCUAUCUGCUUUUUCGAUUUAACAAUUUAAUCAUAUGUUAAAAAUGUCGCAUUAGAACUUAAACUAUUGUUACACAAUAGUGAUCAAUGGUAUACUAUUUAUUCAUGUUAAAAAAAAAUACGAUUCUCAUUUUCUAUACACUAAUACUUUAAGAAAUUACUAGAAAUACUAUAAAUUAGCUAUCACUUUUCAAAAAUACAUGCAAUCAAAAAUAUUUUUAACAUUUGGGUUUAAAAUUUAGUGAUUAUUGUUUAGGAUUUAGUAUUUAAAGGGUGAGAUUAAAUUUAUAAAUUUCUAUUGAUGUUUUGUAGCUAAACAUUUAUAAAUGUUAAUUAGUUUAGUCUUUUUCAUCACAUAAAUAUUUAUGAAAAUAAUUAUUUAAAAGGUUAAUUUGGAAAGUGAUAUCAAUUUUGUGGUCAAAUUGAAAUUUUUAUAUUUAUUUAUUUCAACUAGUACGAUGUUAUAAGUUAAUCUAUUCUUAUAGUUUAAUCAACCGGCAGAAAAAUAUAUUAACCAUACUAAUGUUUCUUAAUUUUUAUCCCUAUUCAGGAGUUCUACUGGCCUGAGAACUAUGUGAUCACAAAGACAAAGAGCCCAUAGUCGAGUAAUACUGAAAACGAAGAAAAGUUUUAAACCUACUUUUAUUCCUGAUUUAAAGAGAUUAUUAGGAAGAAUUAAAUUAUUUGAUUACACAUCUAUUUUCAUUUCAUCUAUGUAACUACGUAGUACGUUGUCUUUCCAGACAUAACAUAUUUCAUAUAUAUCUAUCAAAAUUUUGACAUAUGAAAAUUAAUAAAUAAUUUUAUUUUAAAAUAAUAUAAAUGAACUAAAAAUAAUCACUAAACCAUAAAAUCAAAUGUUAAGGUAUUUGAAAAGAGGUAAUUAACUUAUAGUAUUUCUCGCAAUUUCACAAAUAAAAAUAAGGAAAUGUGAAUAGAAUAAUUUAUCAUAUAAAUGCAUAUAAAUACAUAUCGGAUGAUUAAAAAUGAUGAAUUUGUGAAAAUGCAAUAAAUAUAAGAAAGUAAAAGUUCUAUAUAUAACAAGAGUUAUAAACUAAUGCUUCUAUAUAAAAAAUAAAUAAUCAGAAAACAGAUAUAUGAAGUAUAUUAGUCUCAAAUAAUCUAAACUACUAAUAAUAUCUACAGAUACACAUAAGUUUGAAGAAGAAACAAACACAUAUGUACGCGUACUUCAUAUACAUAUAGCCUAUAUGAUAUAGGACGACAAGUUUGUUCAAUAUGUCCCACGUUACAUGCAUCAUCAUCCCACCACCAUUUAAAUGAAUUUAUAUUUACCAUUUUCUAGUAGAAUACAAAAAUAGAAUGGAAUAUAAGAUAAUUAAACUAAAAAUAUGAUUGAUUAUAAAGUGUAUCUCAUAUGGUACAUCAAACCCUACGAAAUCAGUUUUUUUCUUUCUUUCUUUUCUAUGUCGAAUAGAUUACAAAGGCUUUGUAACCCUGUCCUAAUAUUUUUUUUUUUCCCUGUCCUAAUAUUCAUAUCACAUAUAAUGUUAUAAUCCUAAUUUGUACGUCAAAUUGUAGUUUCUUUACAGACAAAAUCCUAAAACACGACCUAAAUUGGUACUGUCAACGUACGAACACACUUUAGACAAGAAGUCUAUAGACUAUAUAUAGAGUGCAACUGGAUUACAAUAUUUUGGAAUGAAAUGAUGUGGAAUGGUGAAUUCCAUUGAUUCCAAAUUUUUUUUUUUACCAUUUGAUAUGAAUGGAAUGAAAUAAUCAUUUCACUAAUUCAAAAAAUAUUUUGAUAAAAUACAAAGAAAAAUAUUUCAUAACAAAAUUGCUCAUGAAUGAAUGGUAUGUAUUUCUUUCCAUUUUCUUACUGUAUUUCAUUCCUAUAAUUCCAUUUAUUUUAGUUUCAUUAAUUCCAAAUCAAUUUACCAGUUAUAGUUAUAGUAUAUUAGUACAGGCAGAAUAAUAGUAAUUCAGAUAUAAUUUUAUUUUUUUGAUCAAGUAAUUCAGAUAUAAUUUAAAAACAUUCAUCAUAUUUACUUUGCAAAACUAAAGUAAGUGAUUUGUCAGAGACUCAGAGUGCUUCGCUGUUUAUAACAAGCCGUUGGUUUCCACUAUGGUCUCACGCGUACCUCAACCCCUAUGGUCAAAGUUUGAACUAACUGAUCCCAAUUAAAUAUUUAGUUUUAACUUUUACGUCUUAACUAAAAAUGAGAUUAGUUUAUCUUAUGACAUGUGAUUACCCAUAGGAAAGUACACAUAUAAGUCCGAUUCAAGAAAAUAUAUUUACAUUUCAUUCUUUUGAACUGUUUUACGUAACAACGGUUAGUUGUCCCAAAAAAAAAGUAACAACGGUUUGGAGUGAGUGACAUAUAAAAGCAUCUUCAACUCAACUCUAUUUUUUUUCAAACAUCAUCUCAGAAUAAAAUAUUUUUUUAACCUCACUUCAUUUUUAAUUUUAAAAUGGAGUAAUGACUAGGAUUAUUUCAUUUAUAGAAUAAUCUUACACAUUAUUUUGAAGUUGAACUUUUUUAUUUAUAGAACAGUUUUUUAAAUCUUAAAUAUUUUUAUUUUAUAUUUUUUUUUCAUUUUAUUUAAUACUUCAUAUUUAAAAAUAAUACAGUAACAUAAAAAAUAUGAUUUUCCUAAGAGAAUAUUUAAUAAUUUUAAAUAAAAAUGCAUAAACUAAUAAAAAUACCAAAAAUAAGCAUAAAAAUAUAAAAUAAAUAAUUAAGUUAUUUCAUAAUCCGGUAAAUCAUUUUUGGAACCACCAAGAUCAGUGAAAUAUAAAACGAUAAAAAUGACCGGUUUAAAAAUAUAUUUUGCUCAAUUUGAAAAAUUCAAAGAUAAAGAAACUCAUUAUUCAUUAUAAAUUGCAUUAGUUGAACCAAAAUAUGCUAUCUUAUAUAUAUUUAUGAUUAUUGAACUUUUUAAUAAUAAAUGUUUAGUUUAAGUAAAUUAUAUUUUAUGGAAUUUUUGUAAACAUAAAAUAGUUGGGGUUAAUUGAUAAUUUUUUAUAAGUAUAAGAUAUUACUAAUAAUUAUUAAUUAAAUAAAAAUAUAAUUAUUUUGGAAUAUUCUUUUGGAGUAAAAAUAGAAUGAUUCAUUGGAGUAGAACCCAGUUCUUUUUUGGUGUUGCGGCAUUUUAGAGGAAAAUGAAGUAAUACAUUGGAGAUGCUCUAAAUAAAGAAUUACCAAAAAAGAGGGUUUAAGUUCGGUUAAUUGAAUCGAAGCUCUUUUGCAUGAUCUUUUUUAAGUUACAGCUAGAUAAAACAAAUUUAAUUAAGUCUCACAAAGAAUUUGAAAGCCAAAACCAACGGUUGCUGGUUGUAUCACGUAAAAUUGUCCUCUACUCACUGUUUUUUCUUCUUCUUUUUUGGUUCACCGUUCUAUACUCUUUUAACAAAACAACAAGAACAACAUGGUCAAUCUCCUUGCAAUAAUUGUUCUUUUUUUUGUUAAAGAAUAAUUGUUCAAUAUUGCCUCACAAAUCUUAGGACAUUCGGUUAGAAGUGAUUUCGUUUUUUUAAUCUUCUUUUAGAAGACAAAAACAAAACCCAAACCAAAUCGCCAUCUAAGAGAAUCAUGAAAUAAACAUAAGUUUAAUCUUCUUUAAAAAAAAAAAAAAAAAUUCAUUAAUAUUAAUCAACUCUAAUAAAAGGGGUCAUAACAAUUUUACAUAGUGGUCCAAUGGACUGGAGAACUGAAGUUUCAUCUCCAACGAACACUAGCAGCGACCAAAUCAAAUGUCCCCGUGACUUCUGUAAAGUCGCAAUGUCAUGACCAACCCUUCGAUUUGUGCACGGUAAACUGUAAGUGAUAAGCCCCAUCCCCCACAGAGUAGUCUCGUGUUCUCUGUUAGUUUGAAUGAUUUCCUUGAUGUAUUCACAAGAUUACAAAGGUAUAUAUCAGCCAAGCUGUUACACGUGAGAGCUAACUAUUCCUACAAUAUAGGGGCUGUUACAAACAGAAUAAUAUUCCGCAAGAAUAGGGGCAUAUUCUUUCACCCUCCCUCAGUCGAAGCGUUCGGUUGUCGGACGGUGAGACUGGUUCGGAAGUCAUUGAACAACGAGGUAGGUAGCCCCUUUGUGAAGAUAUCCGCAUAUUGAUAUGUUGUUGGAACGUGUAGCACCUUGACUUGUCCUAACGCGACCUUUUCCCUUACGAAGUGAAUGUCUAAUUCGACAUGUUUGGUGCGCUGGUGUUUUACCGGGUUGACUGAUAGGUAUACUGAGCUGAUAUUAUCACAGAAAACAAGAGUGGCACGAGAAGCUGGGCGAUGAAGCUCCAAGAGUAAGUUGCGUAUCCAGCACGUCUCUGCAACCGUGUUCGCCACGCCUCUGUAUUCUGCUUCUGCACUGGAGCGAGAGACCGUUUGCUGCCGUUUGGAUGACCAGGUGAUUAGGUUGUCGCCAAUAUAGACACAGUAACCUGAAGUAGAUCGUCUGGUGUCCGGACAUCCAGCCCAGUCCGCAUCAGAGUAGGCUGUGAUGCUGGUAGAGGUCGGCUUGUACAUUUGUAAGCCAUGUCCCUUCGUGCCUUGAACAUAGCGUAUGAUGCGUUUAAGUGCGUUCAAGUGUUGCGUUCUUGGAUCAUGCAUAAAGAGGCAUACCUGCUGCACUGCAUAGGCUAAGUCUGGGCGUGUGAAGGUAAGGUACUGAAGAGCACCUGCGAGGCUUCUGUACUGCUUAGGAUUUGCGAUUUUUUCUCCUGGUUCCGCAGACAGCUUUGAAUUGACGUCAGCUGGAGUUGAAACCGGCUUGCAGUCUGACAUUCCAGCUCUCUCGAUGAUCUCUGUUGCAUAACUUUUCUGAGACAAGAACAUGCCAGCAUUGUUAUAUUCUACCUUGAUUCUCAAGAAAUAACUGAGUUUGCCCAUAUCUGUCAUUGGGAAUUCUUUUUGUAGACUUGUAAUGAUCCUUUGUAGCAAUGCAGGGCUCGAGCCAGUGAGGAUUAUGUCAUCAACGUAUAAAAGGAGAUAGGCAAGGUCAUUGUUGUUUUUGUAAACAAAGAAAGAAGCAUCUGAUUUUGUAGUUACAAACCCGAGACGCUGAAGGAAUGAGCUGAAGCGAGCAUUCCAUGCGCGAGGGGCCUGCUUGAGGCCAUACAAUGCCUUUUCCAACUUACAAACGUGAUGCGGAUGUUGUUUGUCUACAAAACCGGGAGGCUGAUGCAUGUAUAUAUCUUCCGUGAUCGUGCCAUGAAGGAACGCAUUCUUGACGUCUAAUUGCCUCAGUUGCCAUCCUCUGCUUAGCGCUUCAUUGAGCACCGUUCUGAUUGUCGCCGGUUUCACCACUGGACUAAAGGUCUCAUCGUAGUCUAUCCCCUCUUCUUGUGACUUUCCAUUUGCUACCAAGCGCGCCUUGUGUCUUUUUGGUCUGCCUUCUGCAUCAAGUUUCAACUUAUACAGCCACAAAGAGUUAAUUAUGUUAACACCUACUGGCCGUGGUACAAGCCUCCAUGUCUUAUUGAUAACCUGAGCAUGAUAUUCUUCUGUCAUUGCCGGAUUCCAAUUGGGAUCUAACAAAGCUUUUUGAUGAUUGUUUGGAAUGCGAGAGGCAGAGGAAGUAAGAAGAGAAAAGAUUUUCUUUGGCUUGACUAUACCAAGCUGACCACGAGUUGUCAUCCUCGGUGCAGGAGCUUGAGGGAUGACUCUGGUUUGAGUUGGAGCAUGUGGAGCAGCUGGUGAAGUUGGUGGCGGAGGUAUAGUGUUUGGUGGCAAAAGAGAUUGAUUUUGAAGGAUAGACUGAAACAUAGGUGAUGUUGCAGAAUCAAGAAAGGUGUACGUUGUUUGGGGAGAGGAUGUUUUCUGAGCUUUAGGAAAUGUAGACUCGUCAAAGAUAACGUGUCUUGACAUUAUGAUUUGGUUGGUUUUGAGGUCUAGACAUCGAUAGCCUCGUUGAUUGACAAGGUAGCCUAAAAACAGACAUGGCUUAGAGCGAGCAGCCAGCUUGUGAAGGUUGGAAUGAUUGACAUUAGGGAAACACAAGCAUCCAAACACACGAAGAUGAUUGUAUGUUGGUGGGCUACCAAAAAGAACCUGAUGAGGGCUUUGCUUGUUAAUGGAGGAAGAGGGCAAAAUGUUUGUGAUGUGACACGCAACGUGAAGAGCUUCAGCCCAAAACGUUGGCGAUAUCUGAGCUUGAAAGAGAAGAGAGCGGAUGGCAUUGUUUAAAGUGCGAAUCAUUCUUUCAGCUUUGCCAUUUUGCUGAGAAGUGUAGGGACAGGUAAACCUGAAAAGAAUCCCAUUUUGAUCAAAGUGUUUUGAGAACUGAGUAUUCUGAUAUUCCCCCCCGUUGUCACAUUGAAGAGCUUUGAUAUUUGCCUCAAAUUGGUUCUUAACAUAAGUAGUGAAAUGAAGGAAUUUAGAAAACACUUCACUCUUUUGUCUCAAGGGAUAGACCCAAACAAAGUGAGAGUAGUCAUCGAGAAAUAGAACAUAAUACUUAAUACCGCUGAGGCUUGGUAUUGGAGAUGUCCAAAUAUCCGAGUGGAUAAUAUCAAACGGUUUUGAAGUUUUAUUAGAUGACUGAGAGAAAGGAAGUUUAAUGUGUUUACCCAGUUGACAAGCAUUACAAAAGGGAAUGCUGUCCUUAUUACAAAUGAAAGAGCUAGAAGAGAUUAGAGAUUUUAAUUUCUCGUUAUUUGCGUGUGCCAAACGCUUAUGCCAUAAAGAAGGAGAAGCUGAAACAAAAGCUAAAUGUUCUUGAGGUCGCUGGAGAUGCGACGGGACCGAGUAGAGUUCUCCAGAGCUUUCACUGCGGAGUAGAGUUUUCUGAGACUGAAGAUCCUUCACAGAAAAACCAAAUGGAUCAAACUCAACAGAACACCAAUUAUCUCUUGUAAAUUUUCUUACAGAGAUUAAGUUUUUGAUUAUAUUUGGUGCAACAAGAACUUUGUUUAGAUGUAAGGGACGAGAGGUGGAAGGAAGGAAAGAAUUUCCACCAGAUAAAAUAGGGAUAGAAGAGCCGUUUCCAACAAUGACAGUGUGUUUGGUGUUCAGUUUAUCAACAGACUGUAGGUUACCUGGCGUUGAAGUUAGGUGUGAAGUUGCUCCUGAAUCCAUGUACCAGUUGCUGCUAGGUUCUUGGAGAGUCAUGGUAUUGAACAUCUCUGAGAAGUCUCGCGUAGGUUGGUAGUUGUUAUCCAUCAUGUGUGCCUCUUGUGGUGAUGUAGUUGUUGGUCGUUGGGAGAAUGAGCGUUGUUGCAUGGCGUUUGAUGGAUAAGACAUCCAUGGAUUGAGUUGCUGCUGCUGCCAGUUGUUGAACGGGGCAUUCCAGUACUGAGGUGGUGGCAUGUUCCAGUUCAUGUAGUUCUGCCGCUGAUUAAAGUUGUAGUUGUGGCGGCCUCUUCCACGAGAUCCUCGCCUAUUACCUCUGUUUCCCCUUUUUUGAUUCUGUUGGCGUUGCUGAGUGUCCGGUCGUGACGUGGAGUCAGCGGUUACAAGCGCCGUAGAGGAGGAGGCAUUGUCUUUGUGUGAGGCAGUGACUUUGGUGGACUUCUUCAACCGGGUUUCUUCUAGCUCAAGCAUGUUGCGAGCUUCUUCAAACGUUGGGUAAGGCUUCUAAUGCUUGAUCACAUUAAUGAUGUGGUCAUAUUUCUCAUUCAACCCGUUGAGCAUGUACAUGACAAGUGUCUUGUCGGAAACAGGGGCAUCAACGUUUUCAAGUAGAUCAGCGAUUGAUUUUAGUUCCUGAGAGAACUCGCGAACAGUUUGAUCCCCUAUCUCCUUCGUCCUGAGAUCAUUGUCAAGCUGAAUAGCUCGAGAAUCCUUGUUGUUACGGAAUUGGUUCUCUAUGCGCAGCCACACGUCGCGGGCUGUUCCACCAGUUUUGAAGGAUGAUUUGAACAGCGGUGGUGCAAGCGUCCCGUAAAUCCAGAGCUUGACAAGACCGUCACGUUUCCUCCAUAAAACGUCGUCAUCAUCAUCUGGUACAGUCGAACCAUCGACAUGACCUAAGAGGUCAAAUGUCAAGCAGUGCGUGAGGAACAAUUCCCUCCACGCAUCAUAGUUGAACACGUCUAGAUCCAACACCAGUGGGAUGUGAUGUUUGAUGUUUGUCACUCCAAAUGCUCUCUCAACCGUAGCCAUGAUAGUUUGAUUGUAGAAGAGUGUUUGGGAGAUAGCAAACGAAAAAAGAAGGAUGAAAAAGAGAAGGAUCAAGAAGAAUCCUGCUCUGAUACCAUGUUAGUUUGAAUGAUUUCCUUGAUGUAUUCACAAGAUUACAAAGGUAUAUAUCAGCCAAGCUGUUACACGUGAGAGCUAACUAUUCCUACAAUAUAGGGGCUGUUACAAACAGAAUAAUAUUCCGCAAGAAUAGGGGCAUAUUCUUUCAUUCUCAAACACCGACACCAACAAAGAACCAACUCUCAAAAACCUAGCUUUGUAUACUACAAGUGUCUCGCUGUCGAUCAAAUCCUGAAGCCCACACACAUCUCCAUUUCAAUCCGGUCAAGAGGAGCUACAAUUCAAAGAGGGAGAGUAGAACUGGGAACCGUCAUCCCCAAAAGAGUUCCAUCGUCGUCGAAACCACCUCACAACAUUCAGUACAAGCACCUAAUCUUGAUGACUGACUUGCGGAGUCUAUAGAAACCUCACCACUGUCCUCAAGCAGCCACGACACUCUCCUAUAGAUCCGUCGCGCCAGAAAUUUUAUUUAAAGUCGAAGAAGAGAAAGACACACCGCCGCUAAAUCCUACAAACCACAACUAUUCCUGCUCGAUAUCCAAAAAAGAAGAGACAAAUGAGGAGGGGGAAGAGGAAGCCUCAUCACGGUCCGACAAGACAUCAGAGACCAGAAAAUGCAUCUUUCCAAGCGAUUAUCGAUAGAGAGAAGUGAGAGAGAGAAAAAAACAUUGCGCCUGAUUACACCUCGCGAACAUAAUUUUAAUCUUAACAUAUAAAUAUUAAAAGUUUAAAUUCUACUCAGACUAGAAUUGUAUGUAUCAAAUCAAGCUAAACUUUUUCUUGCACUAUGUCAAACAAGUGUUAUCAUCAGUUAUAUUUCAAACUAAAUACUUGUAUAUUAAACACAAUUAAGUAGAAAAUGAGAGCGAAAAAAAUGAAAACCGUAUUCUAGACACUAAUUUAUCGCUUGAAGAUCACGAAUCAAACCAUGUGCACUGUUCAAAUGCAAACACUUUGAAAAAUUCUUUUUGUAAUUAAAAACAAUUAGAGAACCGAACCAUAAAAGUAAUCAUAUUCCCCCACAAACUACUAAAUCACCACGUUCCGUUGUGUGUAACUUAAGGCAAGUUUUGAAUGUAUCAGACUUUCUUGUAUCUAUACAAAUCAUGAAAUUAUAUUAAUACCUUAGUUCAAAAACAAAAAAAGAAAUACUAAUACCGUAUGGAUGUGGUAAUUACAAAGAAACAAAUCGAAAUAAAGAAAAAUAAAUAAAAACAUGAAUGGGUGGAGGAGACACAUGGAUUUCAGCGUUAUUUUUCAAACUUCCUUUCAUACCCGCGCACUAGCCCCCCCCCCCAAUCCAUAGACGUUGCCCCUUUAUUUUAUUUUUAAUAAUUUUAUUUAUUUUCAUUAAAUUCCCAAAAUCAUUGAAAAUAUAAUUUAGAGAGAGAGAGAGAGAGAGAGAGAGAGAGAGAGAGAUGAGAGCGGCGAAAGUCUCAGGGAUCUUCAGAUGAUAGGGAAGAUAACCGUCUCAGAGAAACUUAUUCCCCAAGAAAAUAGAAUCUAGUGAAAAUUGACCUGUAUUUGCUCAGGUCAUUCAUCAUUGAUUCUGGUUAAGUUGCCAAUCAAAUCAUGAUGAUCCCUGGACGAGAAUUUUUUUUAAAAAGGGUGGAUCACAAAUAGAAAUAGGAGGAGGGGAGGGUGCAGAUGAAACGAUAAUAGCACUUGUAUGGAUUUUCUCGAAAUUGGCUGGAAUUUUCUGUGGAAGUGAAAGAUUUUUUCCCAAACGUCUGGUCAGAGAAAAAUAGAAAAUAACGAAUUUGAGAUUUUGGUCUUUUUUCUAAAACUAAAUAACUAAAAAUAAAAAUUUGGGC